UCAAACCACUUGCUUAAAGAAAAGAGAAUUUUAUUACAAAAAAGAUCCCGGGGCAGGAGUUAAUCUGACAUACAGGUCUACUGGUUGAGUGACUGAACUGUAGGCCGACAUACAGAGUCUCUCCAUCUAAGAGAAAGUAGUGGUGGCUCCUGCCCCGGGAGGUUUGAACUAAAAACAAUUAUAUGAUGAACAAACAACCGACUAUGAAUGACGAUUCUACUGUAGAAAUGGACUUUGCGGUUCCAUCAUUUGAGAGAAACUGUGAUUCUUCACUGAGAGCGGUGUCAGACGUUCAGGUGCCAGACGUUCAGGUGCCAGACGUUCAGGUGCCAGACGUUCAGAUGCCAGACGUUCAUAUGCCAGACGUUCAGGUGCCAGACGUUCAGGUGCCAGACGUUCAGAUACCAGACGUUCAGGUGCCAGACGUUCAGGUACCAGACGUUCAGGUGCCAGACGUUCAGGUCCCAGACGUUCAGGUACCAGACGUUCAGAUGCCAGACGUUCAGGUGCCAGACGUUCAGAUACCAGACGUUCAGGUGCCAGACGUUCAGAUGCCAGACAUUCAGAUGCCAGAGGUUCAGAUGCCAGACAUUCAGAUGCCAGACGUUCAGGUGCCAGACUUGAAUGAUGAUUUAACUAUAGGAAUGAACUCUGCGGUUCCAUCAGUCGAGAGAAACUAUGAUUCUUUACUAAGAGUGAUAAGAAGUAAGAGAGAUGAGAUAAGAAGAAAGAGAGAAAGAAAGCGCUUAAUGGCCAGAAGAUGGUUUAAAAUGAUGUGUGAUGAAAUCAUCAGUGACAAAACACAGUUAAUUCUGAGGGCCUUUAUGGUGUUUGCUGGGGCCAUCAGCCAUCGAUCGGGUCGUCGGUGGAGAAAACGGAAGGCGUGUCCAUCUGAGAGACUGGAGUAAUCGCCGAUGCGGCAUCAAGAAAUAAGGGUUACAUAGAGUUCUUCACUAGAAGACUCUCGCAUCAUACCGAGCUCUGACCAGAUUUCUCUAAAAUACUCCAAAGAUCCACCGGAUUUUCCAAAAUACCAACUAAUUAUAACUAAUGGAGCAAUUUCCAGAACUGAAUCGUGGGAGAAGAUGAAUGGAGAAUUUAUUAUUAAAAUGAUUGAUUCACACAUCAUUUAUAGAGACUUCUGUAACAGAAAAAAAUCCUUGAAAUAUUUAUAUCAAAUUCAAAAUAUUAUAAAGAACUACAAAUAUUUUUAUUUAGAAGCAAAUCAUAACGACAUUUUUAAUGAAUGUUUCAAUAAUCUCGAUGAAAAAGCAAAAGAAGCAAAGAAAUCAAAAAAACAAUUUGCUUUUGUAUUUUUUAGAAAAAAAGAUGGAUCAUUGGACAAGAGUAGAACAGAAGUUCAUUACCUCUUAAAAGGAGAGCACACUGAAGAUAAAAUAUUUAAACUACUACUAGAAAUGUAUUAUGAAAGUAACUGUGAUUAUUCAGAAAUGUAUAUCUACUCUACAAAUAGCCCAUGUUUAGCAAGACACAACCAUGUGCCCUGCAUGAUCCUGGCUUUUUUUAUAGCAUAUAUGUUACAUGAGAAGCAUGGCAUAAAAACAAUUAUUGGAUAUCUUAAACCCUGGGGCCUGAGUGGCUCGUGUGAGAAAAACCUGCCUUCUUAUUCUAUUAAAGAUUGUAUUUGCACUUCUGCAACACAAACAAUCAGAAGCAAAGAUAUAAUAAUUAGAACUUCUUCCCAAAAAACAAACAAUGAUAGAGAAGAUGACAAUGAACUAUUAAUCGCAGUUUACAGACAAAUUAUUCCAGAAGUUCAAAAUCAAAAGUUUUUAAUGGAAGGUUCUGAAUCCAAACCAGAACUCAAACUUAAGCCAUUUUUUUCAAAAAUAUCCAAUUCUGAAAUUAAGAAACAACUUAAAAAAAUUGUACAAAAUUUCUUCAAAACUCAAAAAUCUGAUGUAUUCAAAACUUCUACUGGUUUCCAUGAAUAUGGUUUAGAAAUGUUUGAGAAAUGUACCAAAGAAAUAUCUGAUCUUUUAAUGGAUGAUUAUGCAAAUAUUAUUGAAGAAAUCUGCAGUUAUCUGAAAGAAGUCUUUCGUUGGUGGGAUAAAACAGUGGAUGAUGGAUCCAGCAGGAUCUUGAAAGAGCAACUCGUUGGCAAACUUCUAAAAAAUUCUCUGCAUCUUUUUCUUUUGGAAAUAAAAAAAAUAGAAAAAAAACUGGGAAGAAUUUUUUUUAAAAUUGGUUAUAUGGUCGAAAAUGAGAAUGUGUGU
Molecule: RNA transcript, 2237 nt
Organism: Xyrauchen texanus (razorback sucker)
Lineage: Eukaryota; Metazoa; Chordata; Actinopteri; Cypriniformes; Catostomidae
Gene name: periaxin-like
Exons: 9
Source: RefSeq, a predicted model, not a curated record